CCUACGGGUGGCUGCAGUGGGGAAUAUUGGACAAUGGGCGAAAGCCUGAUCCAGCCAUGCCGCGUGUGUGAAGAAGGCCUUCGGGUUGUAAAGCACUUUCAGUGGGGAAGAAAGCCUUGGGGCUAAUACCCUCGAGGAAGGACAUCACCCACAGAAGAAGCACCGGCUAACUCCGUGCCAGCAGCCGCGGUAAUACGGAGGGGUGCGAGCGUUAAUCGGAAUUACUGGGCGUAAAGCGCGCGUAGGCGGUCUGAUAAGCCGGUUGUGAAAGCCCCGGGCUCAACCUGGGAACGGCAUCCGGAACUGUCAGGCUAGAGUGCAGGAGAGGAAGGUAGAAUUCCCGGUGUAGCGGUGAAAUGCGUAGAGAUCGGGAGGAAUACCAGUGGCGAAGGCGGCCUUCUGGACUGACACUGACGCUGAGGUGCGAAAGCGUGGGUAGCAAACAGGAUUAGAUACCCUAGUAGUC
RNAcentral lists this ribosomal RNA (466 nucleotides) under Vreelandella stevensii. RNAcentral describes it as "partial 16S ribosomal RNA". It matches the Rfam family "Bacterial small subunit ribosomal RNA", at positions 338 to 795 of the family's 1533-position model. The record is from RNAcentral. Lineage: Bacteria; Pseudomonadati; Pseudomonadota; Gammaproteobacteria; Oceanospirillales; Halomonadaceae.